Molecule: long non-coding RNA, 468 nt
Organism: Vicia villosa (hairy vetch)
Lineage: Eukaryota; Viridiplantae; Streptophyta; Magnoliopsida; Fabales; Fabaceae
Exons: 2
Source: RefSeq, a predicted model, not a curated record
CAAAGUUUGAAACAUCACAAAGUUGGAAAUUUGAAUUGAAUUUGAGCCGAGUGAUGGCUGUCAGUCAAAUUAAAAAUUUUGUUGUGAUGAUCCUAGUAUUAAUGUUUAUCAUAAUACAAGCUGAAAGCAUCACUCAAUCUCAAGAAUUAAAGUUAAACAACGGUAAUGAACCUUACUGCACUAUAAGGUGUCGCGGUAUGUGUAUUAGAAAUCCUCCAGUCCGCGAUUUUGAUGCGUGUGUGGCAGACUGUAGGAAAAAGAAUUGCGAACAAUAUCAUAUCUCUUUGCAUGACAAGGUGCUGGAGUAUUGAUGCAUACAUAUACUGCUUCAUCCUUGAUAAGUUCUAGCAAAUAAUAAAUAAAUUUCGUGUAUGCUUUGUGAGAUCAUAUGCAGUAAAAUGUAAUCGAGAAAUUGACAUUUUGCAAAAUUUACAUAUAUAAUUAUAACUCAUUAUGUCUUUUUCUUUA